RNAcentral lists this ribosomal RNA (406 nucleotides) under uncultured bacterium. Its description in RNAcentral is "partial 16S ribosomal RNA". It matches the Rfam family "Bacterial small subunit ribosomal RNA", at positions 30 to 526 of the family's 1533-position model. The record is from RNAcentral.
AUUGAACGCUGGCGGCAGGCCUAACACAUGCAAGUCGAACGAGUGGCGGACGGGUGAGUAAUGUCUGGGAAACUGACUGAUGGAGGGGGAUAACUACUGGAAACGGUAGCUAAUACCGCAUACCAUCAGAUGUGCCCAGAUGGGAUUAGCUUGUUGGUGGGGUAACGACUCACCAAGGCGACGAUCCCUAGCUUGUCUGAGAGGAUGACCAGCAACACUGGAACUCAGACACGGUCCAAGCGCCUACGGGAGGCAGAAGUGGGGAAUAUUGAACAAUGGGCGCAAGCCUGAUGCAGCCAUGCCGCGUGUAUGAAGAAGGCCUUCGGGUUGUAAAGUACUUUCAGCGGGGAGGCGUUACCCGCAGAAGAAACACCUGCUAAAGCCGUGGCAGCAGCCGCGGUAAUAC